GUGUCAGCCGCCGCGGUAAUACGUAGGUGGCAAGCGUUGUCCGGAUUUACUGGGCGUAAAGGGUGCGUAGGCGGUUACUUAAGUCAGAUGUGAAAUCCCAGGGCUUAACUGUGGGGCGUCAUUGGAAACUGGGUGACUUGAGUGCAGAAGAGGAAAGCAGAAUUCCUAGUGUAGCGGUGAAAUGCGUAGAGAUUAGGAGGAAUACCAGUGGGGAAGGCGGCUUUCUGGACUGCAACUGACGCUGAGGCAUGAAAGCGUGGGGAGCAAACAGGAUUAGAUACCCUGGUAGUCCAUGCCGUAAACGAUGAAUGCUAAGUUUAAGAGGGAUCGAGUCCCUCUGUGCUGCAGUUAACGCAAUAAGCAUUCCGCCUGGGGAGUACGGCCGCAAGAUUAAAACUUAAAGGAAUUGACGG
RNAcentral lists this ribosomal RNA (413 nucleotides) under uncultured bacterium. Its description in RNAcentral is "bacterial SSU rRNA". It matches the Rfam family "Bacterial small subunit ribosomal RNA", at positions 505 to 916 of the family's 1533-position model. The record is from RNAcentral.